UCUUCGUCUGAUCUUAGCCAUGAGGCGGCGCGACUGGGCAUCAUGGCGGUCUCCUUCGCUCCUUUCGUGCCAUCUCUCUCUCAAUCAUUCCCUCUUUUCUGCGUUGCAUCAUCUAUUCUUACUUAUCCUCAUCUCCGUGCCCAUUGCCCGUACAAUGUCCUCAUUGGCUCGACGGUAUCUACAAUUCAAAUAAAGCAUAUUCUUCUCAUUCGUGUUUUUCUCUCCUUUUCUUCAUCGCAUGUGUUAAUUUGGCAUGGAAAUGAUGGUAUUGUAAAAGGUCUGAGCAGGGAGAUUAUAUUGGUGGUGGGUGGUGGCAGUGCUGGAGGUUUAGGCGAAAUCGAAGCGAAGAAGAGGGCCCCUGUCACUGCAGAAGUCAUGGCACUGUGACUCUCGCAACCUCUUCGAUAUCAAAAUCAUGCCUUGUUUACACUUGGCGAAUGGGUUGGAUCAAAAGGCGUGGGUUGCAUUCUAGCAUGGAAUGCUAACCUAGAAUUCUCCCGACAAUUAUUUGCUUGCCUUAACUUCAAGCACUGUACUGCCACACUGCUUCCUGCAUUGAUCAAAACCUUCAAUCUGAUCCUGCCACGUUUGGUCGGUGAUCUUGGUUACCUUAAUUUUCCAAUUUUAAACACGUAUCCUUUGUAAUUUUUUUUGAAGUUUAUUGUUUAUUUGCUCUUGUAGACAAAUUUUAAAUUUUACAUUAGUUUGCAAAGUUACAAUUCUGAUUUGCAAAGAUCACUCAGAUACUGGCUUCUCCGAUUAUAGAUCAUUGAGUGUUGAAUAUGGUGGCAGUAGUUUGCUUUAUGAAUAAUGAUAUGACGGCGUCCACGUCCUUGAGAGGAGCUGGUCUGGACGCCGCAGGGCAAUGCAAAUAUAACUUGGGUAUCUGACGAUGUGAUGGGAUUGGAUUGAAUUGGAUUUGUUUUGAUAUUGAUGUAUUAGUUAAAAUAGUGAAGAUAGAUAACUAUAAGCAUGCUGGCCUCAUCUUUUGGCUAAAUGAAACUUAUUCUUGGAGAGACUCAAUUGAUGAGUUUGGCUUGGUGAUUCUGUUAUAUGUUUCAUACUUCAAAGAACUGCUAAUUUCAUCGAGUUUCUGCCAACUGCCCGAGGCAGGUGGAAGUACACAAUUAUUCCAGUUGUCUCUGGGGUCAGGUCUGGACAAUAAUUCCACCUUUAAAAUGAUUUAUUGAAGUAAUUUAUGUUCUGUGUCUCUGACUUUCUGUAAGGAUCUCUUGACUUUAUGGCAUGUGUGAAAUAUUCUUGAAGCUUUGUUUCAAAUGGUGGUUCUCUGUGCAACUCCUGCAUCACCUUUUGCGUUAUCUCGAAGGAGUUUGGAUUGUAUUAUACAAGAACUUAAAGCUUUGCUUCAAUUAUGGUAUUAUGUGCAUAUUGAGUAAUAUAACCUGUUGAUUGGAUUUGGACCAGCGGCUAAAGCCCUGAGAAUAUUUACACAUUGAGUUGCACUGCACAGUUGACGAUACAUAGUAGUUGGAAACUGUUGGGACCCAUUCCAGUUUAUAGUAUUGUAGUCUUACAUCUGAAGCAUUGGACUCUGAUGUGGGGUUUUACGGGGACUUUGAAGUCUCCAAUCUUAGGAACUAACAUUUAGGCUGUGGUUGUCCCAAGUUGCUUUCAGAAACACUAACAUAUUAUAAGUUAGUUUUUAUUUCGUGGUAAUUUUAUUUGAUAUUUGAUAUUAAAUGAAAGCUGACAUUGAUGCUGAGCUAGUGAAAGAAAAAAACGUCAUUAUUUUAAGUGAUUUGUUUGGGCAAAAAUAUUUAAUCAUGCACUACUGAAGUCGUUUUUAUCCUGAACCCUUGCUUGUCAUUAAAACUGAUGUGGAUGAUAGCUCAUCCCAACUGUUCAGCCGAAAACCUUCAUGAUGCUCUUUUCACAUUGAUAGCACUGAUUUCGUUUAUUCUAUGACUACUUGCGAGAACCUGACCCUGUGACCCUAACAGGGAAAUUCUCUAAAACACACGAGGAGUGCGGAAGCAUUGCCGCAUUAUUUGGACCACAAAGAUGGAGUAUUGAAUUUAGAACUAUGGAUUCAGACCUAUCAUAUGCUGGAUCAGCAUCUUUGUCUCCCACUAAAAGAAUUGGUUAAAACCUAAUCCCAAUCUGGUCUGGCGUGUUGGGAAGUGCAUGUUGACGGUGGCUUGGAGGAACUCACCGCAUGGCGCGUUUCACUUCCACCGCGGUAAAGGUUCAUUGAAUUCUACUGCUACCAUCACUUUAACUGUCUUUGGUAAGGGUUCAUCUUUGAUGUGAUAAUGCCUUGAUGCUACCUUAAGUGUUUUAGUUGACCGGUGAAUGAACAUGCGACAAUUCUCUCGAUGCUACCUGGCUGCACCUUUGUGACCCACCGAUGAUGACAGAUCUCCUAUUGGAAGGCCCCGUCCCGUUCAGAAGCAAUUUGGAUUUGCAGACACUAAAUUGAGUUUUUAGAGAGCACUUUUCAGCACCUAAUAUUUCUAAAGAUUAAUGAUUAGAUCAUAAACUAUUAUAUGAAUAGUAUUUUGGAUUUUAAACUUUUAUAAUGUGCAAAAACAUCCAUCAACUUUUAAAUUUUGGAUGCUUGGCUGCAUGUUUGGAUAGGAGAUUUAAUUGAUUUUGGAGGUUUAGAGUA
This is a long non-coding RNA of Prosopis cineraria, 2629 nucleotides long. RefSeq lists it as uncharacterized. Lineage: Eukaryota; Viridiplantae; Streptophyta; Magnoliopsida; Fabales; Fabaceae. The record is from RefSeq and is a predicted model, not a curated record. The transcript is spliced from 2 exons.